This 492-nucleotide ribosomal RNA is filed under the name uncultured bacterium. RNAcentral describes it as "partial 16S ribosomal RNA". It matches the Rfam family "Bacterial small subunit ribosomal RNA", at positions 29 to 507 of the family's 1533-position model. The record is from RNAcentral.
AGUGAACGCUGGCGGUAGGCCUAACACAUGCAAGUCGAACGGCAGCACAGUAAGAGCUUGCUCUUACGGGUGGCGAGUGGCGGACGGGUGAGGAAUACAUCGGAAUCUACUUUUGCGUGGGGGAUAACGUAGGGAAACUUACGCUAAUACCGCAUACGACCUACGGGUGAAAGCAGGGGAUCUUCGGACCUUGCGCGAUUGAAUGAGCCGAUGUCUUAUUAGCUAGUUGGCGGGGUAAAGGACCAACAAGGCGACGAUCCGUAGAUGUUCCGAGCGGAUGAUCAGCCUUACUGGAACUGAUACAUGGUCCAUGUUCCUAUGGGAUGCAGUAUUGGGGAAUAUUGGACAAUGGGCGCAAGCCUGAUCCAGCCAUACCGCGUGGGUGAAGAAUGCCUUCGGGUUUUAAAGCCCUUUUGUUGUGAAAGAAAAGCAGCAGGUUAAUACCCCGCUGUUCUGACGGUACCCAAAGAAUAAGCACCGGCUAACUUCGUG